GCGGAUGUGGCGGAACUGGUAGACGCCCUGGAUUUAGGUUCCAGUGCCGAAAGGCGUGGGGGUUCGAUUCCCGUCGUCCGCACCA
RNAcentral lists this transfer RNA (85 nucleotides) under Mesorhizobium sp. M7A.F.Ca.MR.228.00.0.0. RNAcentral's name for it is "tRNA-Leu". It matches the Rfam family "tRNA". Rfam says of the family: Transfer RNA (tRNA) molecules are approximately 80 nucleotides in length. Lineage: Bacteria; Pseudomonadati; Pseudomonadota; Alphaproteobacteria; Hyphomicrobiales; Phyllobacteriaceae. The record is from RNAcentral.